CAGGGCUGCAGAAGCAUCUGAAGCUGCAGAUCUCCAGAUGCAGGAUGGAGACCCUUCUUGGUUAACCUCAUGUAGACUACUAACUAGCUGCUAAUGAGUAGAAGUCAUUUCUGCCAAGUCAGAAUCAGGAGGCAGCAAAGCAUUCACUGCCAUCCAUGACAAAAGCACCUGCUGUAGUUACUGUUGAGCAAUGACAAGCUGCUGCAGUGUCUACAGGAAUUCUCCCAGCAGACAAUCCCUGGGACAUGUGAAAUCAAGACACUGGUGGAAGUGCUGAUCUGGGAAACCAAAGCCACAGCCUGUUGCCUGCAUGAUGUCUACACUGCCUUCCAUGUUUUGUCUAGCACCUAGUUCAUCAAAAUGUGAGUUCAGUGAAUAAGGGAAGAAGCCACACCCAGCCCGGCAAAUGCCUCUGUAUCCUGGGAUGGAGGACAGCCACCCAGCACCAUCCCAGGGUCCCUG
Long non-coding RNA from Ochotona princeps (American pika), 462 nucleotides. RefSeq lists it as uncharacterized. NCBI's taxonomy places the organism in Eukaryota, Metazoa, Chordata, Mammalia, Lagomorpha, Ochotonidae. The transcript has 4 exons. The record is from RefSeq and is a predicted model, not a curated record.